GCACGGUCCGUGUCAACCGGACGCGAUAGAGAAGGUGGACGCAGUGGUUUUUCCGGUUUCACGCUGCGGCUUAACGAAUUGGCACGCGAGCACCCGACCUAUCCGGACC
This 109-nucleotide small RNA is filed under the name Rhizobium aethiopicum. RNAcentral describes it as "sRNA Atu_At1". It matches the Rfam family "Rhizobiales sRNA Atu_At1". Lineage: Bacteria; Pseudomonadati; Pseudomonadota; Alphaproteobacteria; Hyphomicrobiales; Rhizobiaceae. The record is from RNAcentral.